This 208-nucleotide long non-coding RNA is filed under the name Pelobates cultripes (western spadefoot toad). The record is from RNAcentral. Lineage: Eukaryota; Metazoa; Chordata; Amphibia; Anura; Pelobatidae.
CAACUAUGUCACAGUAAUCAAAGGUAUAUGUAGCUACAUCUGUGUUAGAAGAAUUGUACCAGAAAGUGUAAACAUGAUUAUCUUUGGUUAUGGCCACUUGUUGGGCCCAGGCAAAGUGUAGCAGCAUAAGAAAACACAAGACACAUAAUAAAUUCAUAUUUCAGCAGGAUUAGCCUCUUCUGGAACAGGCACUUUUUUGCAAUGUGAG